GAUCAUGGCUCAGAACGAACGCUGGCGGCAGGCCUAACACAUGCAAGUCGAGCGAACCCUUCGGGGUUAGCGGCGGACGGGUUAGUAACGCGUGGGAAUAUACCCUUUGGUACGGAAUAGCCUCGGGAAACUGAGAGUAAUACCGUAUGUGCCCUUCGGGGGAAAGAUUUAUCGCCAAAGGAUUAGCCCGCGUUGGAUUAGAUAGUUGGUGGGGUAAUGGCCUACCAAGUCUACGAUCCAUAGCUGGUUUGAGAGGAUGAUCAGCAACACUGGGACUGAGACACGGCCCAGACUCCUACGGGAGGCAGCAGUGGGGAAUCUUAGACAAUGGGCGCAAGCCUGAUCUAGCCAUGCCGCGUGGACGAUGAAGGCCUUAGGGUUGUAAAGUCCUUUCAGAUGGGAAGAUAAUGACGGUACCAUCUGAAGAAGCCCCGGCUAACUCCGUG
RNAcentral lists this ribosomal RNA (446 nucleotides) under uncultured bacterium. Its description in RNAcentral is "bacterial SSU rRNA". It matches the Rfam family "Bacterial small subunit ribosomal RNA", at positions 15 to 507 of the family's 1533-position model. The record is from RNAcentral.